GGGUAGGUGCCCGAGUGGCUAAAGGGGACAGACUGUAAAUCUGUUGACUUCGGUCUUCGAAGGUUCGAAUCCUUCCCUACCCACCA
Molecule: transfer RNA, 86 nt
Filed under: Bdellovibrio sp.
Lineage: Bacteria; Pseudomonadati; Bdellovibrionota; Bdellovibrionia; Bdellovibrionales; Pseudobdellovibrionaceae
Also listed under: 1 other name
Description: tRNA-Tyr
Rfam family: tRNA
About the family: Transfer RNA (tRNA) molecules are approximately 80 nucleotides in length. Their secondary structure includes four short double-helical elements and three loops (D, anti-codon, and T loops). Further hydrogen bonds mediate the characteristic L-shaped molecular structure. tRNAs have two regions of fundamental functional importance: the anti-codon, which is responsible for specific mRNA codon recognition, and the 3' end, to which the tRNAs corresponding amino acid is attached (by aminoacyl-tRNA synthetases). tRNAs cope with the degeneracy of the genetic code in two manners: having more than one tRNA (with a specific anti-codon) for a particular amino acid; and 'wobble' base-pairing, i.e. permitting non-standard base-pairing at the 3rd anti-codon position.
Source: RNAcentral